Molecule: ribosomal RNA, 486 nt
Filed under: uncultured bacterium
Lineage: Bacteria
Description: bacterial SSU rRNA
Rfam family: Bacterial small subunit ribosomal RNA
Source: RNAcentral
AACGAACGCUAGCGGGAUGCCUCAAACAUGCAAGUCGUACGCGAAAGUACCUUCGGGUACAAGUAGAGUGGCGCACGGGUGAGUAACACGUAGGUAAUCUACCCUUUCGCUGGGGACAACUCCGGGAAACCGGAGCUAAUACCGAAUGAGCUGCGAGAGACUCCGGUCUCUUUCGGCAAAGGCGCAAGCCGCGAAAGGAUGAGCCUGCGUCCCAUUAGCUUGAUGGUGGGGUAACGGCCUACCAUGGCUACGAUGGGUAGCUGGUCUGAGAGGAUGAUCAGCCACACUGGAACUGGAACACGGUCCAGACUCCCACGGGAGGCAGCAGUUGGGAAUCUUGCACAAUGGGCGAAAGCCUGAUGCAGCAAUCCCGCGUGAGUGACGAAGGCUUUCGGGUCGUAAAGCUCUUUUCAGCAGGGAAGAAAGGAAACUUGACGGUACCUGCAGAAGAAGCACCGGCUAACUACGUGCCAGCCGCCGCGGUAA